GAGGAGGCGAUAGACCGGGCGGUUAGACGGGGAGGCUUUCUAAACACUUCGUGGAUGUGGCAGACCUCGCAUAAAGAAGUUAUUUGCGCCCGUUUCACAAAACGGGACAAAUCAAGGCUCCCUCUCAACGCAUGUUAGAAGAGGAUUUACAGAGUGCAAACUCAAACCACAUAACAUACCAAGAUCUGAGUGUGCCACUCCACUGGAUAUUAUUGGCCUUUCAAUACCAUUCAACAAUUUGAUAACGGGAUAGAAAUUGAGAGACAGAGCAGCCUGUCCAAAAGCUUUCAAAAUCACUGCUCCUCCUUGACCUUUUUGAACUGCUGCAGUCCGUGUGGUGAAGCCCUGCCCAGAUUGCUGUUUGGACAACCAGAAUUGGACACAGUCCUGCAGAAGAGGCCUCACCAAUGGCCUGUAUGAUCUCAACAUGACGUCCCAACUUCUCUACACAACAGACUGAGCAAUGUAGGGAAUUGGAAAGGAUUUACAGACAGGCAGCUCAAGUCAAAAAUUGGAUCAACAGCUGCCAGUGACACUCAAUUCUCGAGAGCUUUGAACGUGGAAGAAAAAAGCAUCGUUCACGGUGAAGAGAAACCAUACACGUGGUCUGUGUGCACAAGCCUUCGGUCAAUCGUCUGGCCUGUCGAUACGUAAAUGCAGUCAAAACAGUAUGACAACAAUGACAUCAAGCAGCACUUGCUUUGCAAUGUCACAGUGAUGGAUCUCGGUUUGAGUUAGGCAAGGGCCACUCAUCUCCUGAUCUCCUCACAUUUUUGGUGCAAACAUGGACCAAACAGCUGAAUUCCAAAUGAGAGUGUGACUUUCCUGCCAUCUUAAGGCUCUAUUUGACAGAGCAUUGUAUCAAGGAAUCAUAGCAAAACUAGAGUCAACGGGAUUCAGAGAAUAUUAUUCUCGCUUUGAUUGUGGGUUUUUGAAAAGAUUGCAUCCUCAGACCUGAGUAGAUCAAAACAAGGUGAAUUUAUUCAAGCUUGUACCACAUAUUUGCGGAAGAGGUCUCCUCGUCGAGCUUGGAGAUCCUCUACCAUUUACAGCUCAAAACAGCAUAUUGAGACGUUUUCACGUCAGGUUGGUUGUAUGUAACAUUG
Long non-coding RNA from Rhincodon typus (whale shark), 1106 nucleotides. RefSeq lists it as uncharacterized. Lineage: Eukaryota; Metazoa; Chordata; Chondrichthyes; Orectolobiformes; Rhincodontidae. The record is from RefSeq and is a predicted model, not a curated record. The transcript is spliced from 5 exons.